AUUGAACGCUGGCGGCAGGCCUAACACAUGCAAGUCGAGCGGAUGAAGGGAGCUUGCUCCUGUAUUCAGCGGCGGACGGGUGAGUAAUGCCUAGGAAUCGGCCUGGUAGUGGGGGAUAACGUCCUGAAACGGGCGCUAAUACCGCAUACGUCCUGAGGGAGAAAGUGGGGGAUCUUCGGACCUCACGCUAUCAGAUGAGCCUAGGUCGGAUUAGCUAGUUGGUGGGGUAAAGGCCUACCAAGGCGACGAUUCGUAACUGGUAUGAGAGGAUGAGCAGUCACACUGGAACUGAGACACGGUCCACACUCCUACGGGAGGCAGCAGUGGGGAAUAUUGGACAAUGGGCGAAAGCCUGAUCCAGCCAUGCCGCGUGUGUGAAGAAGGUCUUCGGAUUGUAAAGCACUUUAAGUUGGGAGGAAGGGCAGUAAGUUAAUAUCUUGCUGUUUUGACGUUACCAACAGAAUAAGCCCCGGCUAACUUCGUG
This 484-nucleotide ribosomal RNA is filed under the name uncultured bacterium. RNAcentral's name for it is "partial 16S ribosomal RNA". It matches the Rfam family "Bacterial small subunit ribosomal RNA", at positions 30 to 507 of the family's 1533-position model. The record is from RNAcentral.